GCGUGAGUGAUGAAGGUUUUCGGAUCGUAAAACUCUGUUGCCAGGGAAGAAUGGUNAGGAGAGUAACUGCUCUUAAUUUGACGGUACCUGAGAAGAAAGCCCCGGCUAACUACGUGCCAGCAGCCGCGGUAAUACGUAGGGGGCAAGCGUUGUCCGGAAUUAUUGGGCGUAAAGCGCGCGCAGGCGGUUGUUUAAGUCUGGUGUAUAAACCAAGGGCUCAACCUUUGGACGCAUUGGAAACUGGGCAACUGGAGUGUAGGAGAGGAAAGUGGAAUUCCACGUGUAGCGGUGAAAUGCGUAGAGAUGUGGAGGAACACCAGUGGCGAAGGCGACUUUCUGGCCUAUAA
RNAcentral lists this ribosomal RNA (347 nucleotides) under bacterium h2(2011). RNAcentral's name for it is "SSU rRNA". It matches the Rfam family "Bacterial small subunit ribosomal RNA", at positions 399 to 739 of the family's 1533-position model. The record is from RNAcentral.